RNAcentral lists this ribosomal RNA (1447 nucleotides) under uncultured organism. Its description in RNAcentral is "SSU rRNA". It matches the Rfam family "Bacterial small subunit ribosomal RNA". The record is from RNAcentral.
UGAACGCUAGCGACAGGCUUAACACAUGCAAGUCGAGGGGCAGCACAGGUAGCAAUACCGGGUGGCGACCGGCGCACGGGUGAGUAACGCGUAUGCAACUUGCCUAUCAGAGGGGGAUAACCCGGCGAAAGUCGGACUAAUACCGCAUGAAGCAGGGGCCCCGCAUGGGGAUAUUUGCUAAAGAUUCAUCGCUGAUAGAUAGGCAUGCGUUCCAUUAGGCAGUUGGCGGGGUAACGGCCCACCAAACCGACGAUGGAUAGGGGUUCUGAGAGGAAGGUCCCCCACAUUGGUACUGAGACACGGACCAAACUCCUACGGGAGGCAGCAGUGAGGAAUAUUGGUCAAUGGCCGAGAGGCUGAACCAGCCAAGUCGCGUGAGGGAUGAAGGUUCUAUGGAUCGUAAACCUCUUUUAUAAGGGAAUAAAGUGCGGGACGUGUCCCGUUUUGUAUGUACCUUAUGAAUAAGGAUCGGCUAACUCCGUGCCAGCAGCCGCGGUAAUACGGAGGAUCCGAGCGUUAUCCGGAUUUAUUGGGUUUAAAGGGUGCGUAGGCGGCCUUUUAAGUCAGCGGUGAAAGUCUGUGGCUCAACCAUAGAAUUGCCGUUGAAACUGGGGGGCUUGAGUAUGUUUGAGGCAGGCGGAAUGCGUGGUGUAGCGGUGAAAUGCAUAGAUAUCACGCAGAACCCCGAUUGCGAAGGCAGCCUGCCAAGCCAUUACUGACGCUGAUGCACGAAAGCGUGGGGAUCAAACAGGAUUAGAUACCCUGGUAGUCCACGCAGUAAACGAUGAUCACUAGCUGUUUGCGAUACACUGUAAGCAGCACAGCGAAAGCGUUAAGUGAUCCACCUGGGGAGUACGCCGGCAACGGUGAAACUCAAAGGAAUUGACGGGGGCCCGCACAAGCGGAGGAACAUGUGGUUUAAUUCGAUGAUACGCGAGGAACCUUACCCGGGUUUGAACGCAUUCGGACCGAGGUGGAAACACCUUUUCUAGCAAUAGCCGUUUGCGAGGUGCUGCAUGGUUGUCGUCAGCUCGUGCCGUGAGGUGUCGGCUUAAGUGCCAUAACGAGCGCAACCCUUGCCACUAGUUACUAACAGGUAAAGCUGAGGACUCUGGUGGGACUGCCAGCGUAAGCUGCGAGGAAGGCGGGGAUGACGUCAAAUCAGCACGGCCCUUACAUCCGGGGCGACACACGUGUUACAAUGACGUGGACAAAGGGAGGCCACCUGGCGACAGGGAGCGAAUCCCCAAACCACGUCUCAGUUCGGAUCGGAGUCUGCAACCCGACUCCGUGAAGCUGGAUUCGCUAGUAAUCGCGCAUCAGCCAUGGCGCGGUGAAUACGUUCCCGGGCCUUGUACACACCGCCCGUCAAGCCAUGGGAGCCGGGGGUACCUGAAGUCCGUAACCGAAAGGAUCGGCCUAGGGUAAAACUGGUGACUGGGGCUAA